AUACGGAGGGUGCAAGCGUUAUCCGGAUUCAUUGGGUUUAAAGGGUGCGCAGGCGGACUUGUAAGUCAGUGGUGAAAUCUCGGGGCUCAACCUCGGAACUGCCAUUGAUACUGCAAGUCUUGAGUUUGGUUGAAGUGGGCGGAAUGUAGCAUGUAGCGGUGAAAUGCAUAGAUAUGCUACAGAACACCGAUCGCGAAGGCAGCUCACUAAACCAACACUGACGCUCAGGCACGAAAGCGUGGGGAGCGAACAGGAUUAGAAACCCCGGUAGUCC
Molecule: ribosomal RNA, 274 nt
Filed under: uncultured bacterium
Lineage: Bacteria
Description: partial 16S ribosomal RNA
Rfam family: Bacterial small subunit ribosomal RNA
Source: RNAcentral